UGAGGAAUAUUGGUCAAUGGACGGAAGUCUGAACCAGCCAAGUAGCGUGCAGGAUGACGGCCCUAUGGGUUGUAAACUGCUUUUGUAUGGGGAUAAAGUUAGGGACGUGUCCCUAUUUGCAGGUACCAUACGAAUAAGGACCGGCUAAUUCCGCGCCAGCAGCCGCGGUAAUACGGAAGGUCCAGGCGUUAUCCGGAUUUAUUGGGUUUAAAGGGAGCGUAGGCUGGAGAUUAAGUGUGUUGUGAAAUGUAGACGCUCAACGUCUGGAUUGCAGCGCAUACUGGUUUCCUUGAGUACGCACAACGUUGGCGGAAUUCGUCGUGUAGCGGUGAAAUGCUUAGAUAUGACGAAGAACUCCGAUUGCGAAGGCAGCUGACGGGAGCGCAACUGACGCUUAAGCUCGAAGGUGCGUGUAUCAAACAGGAUUAGAUACCCUGGUAGUCCGCACAGUAAACGAUGGAUGCCCGCUGUUGGUACCUGGUAUCAGCGGCUAAGCGAAAGCAUUAAGCAUCCCACCUGGGGAGUACGCCGGCAACGGUG
RNAcentral lists this ribosomal RNA (540 nucleotides) under uncultured bacterium. RNAcentral describes it as "bacterial SSU rRNA". It matches the Rfam family "Bacterial small subunit ribosomal RNA", at positions 355 to 896 of the family's 1533-position model. The record is from RNAcentral.